CCCUUAGAUGUUCUGGGCCGCACGCGCGCUACACUGAUGAAUUCAACGAGCCUAGCCUUGUCCGAAAGGUCCGGGUAAUCUCUGAAACUUCAUCGUGGUGGGGAUAGAUCAUUGCAAUUAUUGAUCUUCAACGAGGAAUUCCUAGUAAGCGCAAGUCAUCAGCUUGCGUUGAUUACGUCCCUGCCCUUUGUACACACCGCCCGUCGCUUGUACCGAUUGGAUGGUCCGGUGAAAUCUUCGGAUAGCUGGUAGUUGGCUUGCCAUCUGCUGCUAAAAGUUGCUUAAACCUUAUCAUCUAGAGGAACAAGAAGUCGUAACA
Molecule: ribosomal RNA, 319 nt
Filed under: uncultured eukaryote
Lineage: Eukaryota
Description: partial 18S ribosomal RNA
Rfam family: Eukaryotic small subunit ribosomal RNA
Source: RNAcentral